UCUUGCGCAGCUUAGGUGGGAGGCUAUGAACCUUUUCUUCUGGGAAGAGGGGAGCCAUCAGUGAGAUACCACUCUUGGUAAGCUAGAGCGCUCAGUCUUCACCGUCAUCCGGUAAGACGACAGUUUCAGGCGGGCAGUUCGACUGGGGCAGUCACCUCCCAAAAGGUAAUGGAGGUGUGCAAAGGUUCCCUCAGGCUGGACGGAAAUCAGCCAUAGAGUGUAAAAGCAUAAGGGAGCUUGACUGCGAGACUGACAUGUCAAGCAGAGACGAAAGUCGGCUUUAGUGAUCCGACGGUGCUGUGUGGAGAGGCCGUCGCUCAACGGAUAAAAGUUACUCUAGGGAUAAC
This 347-nucleotide ribosomal RNA is filed under the name uncultured eukaryote. RNAcentral describes it as "LSU rRNA". It matches the Rfam family "Bacterial large subunit ribosomal RNA", at positions 2132 to 2478 of the family's 2925-position model. The record is from RNAcentral.